AGUCGGACGGCAGCGGGGUAGUGCUUGCACUACUGCCGGCGAGUGGCGAACGGGUGAGUAAUAUAUUGGAACGUACCGAGUAAUGGGGGAUAACCAAUCGAAAGAUUGGCUAAUACCGCAUACGCUCUGAGGAGGAAAGCAGGGGACCUUCGGGCCUUGCGUUAUUCGAGCGGCCAAUAUCUGAUUAGCUAGUUGGUGGGGUAAAGGCCUACCAAGGCGAUGAUCAGUAGCGGGUCUGAGAGGAUGAUCCGCCACACUGGGACUGAGACACGGCCCAGACUCCUACGGGAGGCAGCAGUGGGGAAUUUUGGACAAUGGGCGCAAGCCUGAUCCAGCCAUGCCGCGUGUCUGAAGAAGGCCUUCGGGUUGUAAAGGACUUUUGUUAGGGAAGAAAAAGGAGCGGUUAAUACCCGUUUCUGCUGACGGUACCUAAAGAAUAAGCACCGGCUAA
This 451-nucleotide ribosomal RNA is filed under the name Neisseria elongata. Its description in RNAcentral is "bacterial SSU rRNA". It matches the Rfam family "Bacterial small subunit ribosomal RNA", at positions 60 to 500 of the family's 1533-position model. The record is from RNAcentral. Lineage: Bacteria; Pseudomonadati; Pseudomonadota; Betaproteobacteria; Neisseriales; Neisseriaceae.